GGGCCUGGAGCGCAUGUGCACAGGGAGUGGUGAAAAACGGGGUGGAGCCUGACUGCCGCUGUCAUAGGGUGCUCCAGCUCACGGUGUGUGGAAAGAUUUGCUGCAUUUCUAAAGAAUUUCAGAAAACAAGCUGCAUUUCAGAACCUAAACCAGCAUUUGCUUUUCUUCACUCUGAGGGAGCACACAAGUAUUGAAAUUCUCUGCCACUGGGCACGCCAAGGUGGGAAUUGACUUGCUGCCCAUUGGAGUACAGUUCCACACUGUGAUUCCCUGCUGACACAGCAGGCUGCAGGGCAUUAAGGAUUAAAAGUGCAAACCUGCCCAGGGCCAGU
Molecule: long non-coding RNA, 332 nt
Organism: Capra hircus (goat)
Lineage: Eukaryota; Metazoa; Chordata; Mammalia; Artiodactyla; Bovidae
Exons: 4
Source: RefSeq, a predicted model, not a curated record